Molecule: ribosomal RNA, 443 nt
Filed under: uncultured bacterium
Lineage: Bacteria
Description: partial 16S ribosomal RNA
Rfam family: Bacterial small subunit ribosomal RNA
Source: RNAcentral
CCUACGGGUGGCAGCAGUGGGGGAUCUUCCACAAUGGGGGAAACCCUGAUCGAGCGACGCCGCGUGAGUGAAGAAGUUUUUCGGUACGUAAAACUCUGUUAGCAGAGAAGAAAGAACUUAAGAUUACUGGGUAAGAAGCCCCGGCUAACUACGUGCAAGCAGCCGCGGUAAUACGUAGGGGGAAAGCGUUAUCCGGAAUUACUGGGUGUAAUGGGAGCGUAGACGGUAAUGCAAGUCUGGAGUGAAAGGCGGCGGCCCAACCCCCGGACUGCUCUGGAAACUGGGUAACUGGAGUGCAGGAGAGGCAAGUGGAAUUCCUAGUGUAGCGGUGAAAUGCGUAGAUAUUAGGAGGAACACCAGUGGCGAAGGCGGCCUGCUGGACUGUAACUGACGUUGAGGCUCGAAAGCGUGGGGAGCAAACAGGAUUAGAUACCCGGGUAGUC